UGGGGAAUUUUGCGCAAUGGGCGAAAGCCUGAUCCAGCAAUGCCGCGUGAGUGAUGAAGGCCCUAGGGUUGUAAAGCUCUUUUACCCGAGAUGAUAAUGACAGUAUCGGGAGAAUAAGCUCCGGCUAACUCCGUGCCAGCAGCCGCGGUAAUACGGAGGGAGCUAGCGUUGUUCGGAAUUACUGGGCGUAAAGCGCACGUAGGCGGCAUAGUAAGUCAGGGGUGAAAUCCCGGGGCUCAACCUCGGAACUGCCCUUGAAACUGCUAAGCUUGAAUCCUGGAGAGGCGAGUGGAAUUCCGAGUGUAGAGGUGAAAUUCGUAGAUAUUCGGAAGAACACCAGUGGCGAAGGCGACUCGCUGGACAGGUAUUGACGCUGAGGUGCGAAAGCGUGGGGAGCAAA
Molecule: ribosomal RNA, 400 nt
Filed under: uncultured bacterium
Lineage: Bacteria
Description: bacterial SSU rRNA
Rfam family: Bacterial small subunit ribosomal RNA
Source: RNAcentral